GAAGAGGUGGAGGAAUAUGAGAAGAGGAGGAGAAGAAGAAAAGAGAGAAAAAGAAAAGGACUCCCUUGGACUGUGUCCUCACUGUGACCCAAGAGGAGGUGGCCACUCAACGCUGAGGUCACACGGCUCCCUUCCUUAUGCAGGUCGAGAGCAGCACCUGUGAAACCUUGUGCUGCACUUCUAGGCCUUGAUACACUUCUGCGACGUCUUCGUGGCCUGCCACGCCAAUAAGACGCUCCACGCCCACGAAAUCCUGCGAGGCGAGCAUGUGGCGGUGGUGCAGUUUCUGUAUCACUGAGACUGAGAAUAUCAUCGUAACUACUGCUAUAUUCACAUCCUUCAGUCACUAAGUCAAAUUCACUGUCUUCACUCUCAUCAGUGAUGUGAAAGUCAUUGUCAGAUUCAUCACUUUCAUCAGAAAAAAGUGGGGUAGAUUCGCCCGGUGGGUUGUCUCCACCCGACGCGUGGCGGGAGGUGCCAGGUCUCGCCUCCAUGACGAACACAAAGUCUCUGAGAUGUGUGUGAAAACAGUCAAACUGGCAACUCAGCUAGUGGAGAGUGAUGCCACCCUACAGCCCCGCCCCAGUCUUCAAAUGUUAAGCGGGAAAAAUCAUGAUUACCGAUACGAUCGCCGUCUCUCUGGACGGAACAAUAUCAUCAUUCAUGUACG
Long non-coding RNA from Portunus trituberculatus (swimming crab), 670 nucleotides. RefSeq lists it as uncharacterized. The record is from RefSeq and is a predicted model, not a curated record. The transcript is spliced from 3 exons. NCBI's taxonomy places the organism in Eukaryota, Metazoa, Arthropoda, Malacostraca, Decapoda, Portunidae.